AAGCGCUCGCAACCAGACUCGCUCGUGGGUGUUCAGCUGUUCUUUGGAGCGGUGCAUUCUCCCAUGAUCGGGCCAGCAUCGGUUUUGGCGGCCGGAUAAAGGCCCUAGGAACGUAGCUCCUCUCGGGGAGUGUUAUAGCCUGGGGUGCAAUGCGGCCAGUUAAGACCGAGGAUCGCGCAUUCGCUAGGAUGCUGGCGUAAUGGUUGCCAGCG
This 212-nucleotide ribosomal RNA is filed under the name Ostropales sp. RNAcentral describes it as "partial large subunit ribosomal RNA". The record is from RNAcentral. Lineage: Eukaryota; Fungi; Ascomycota; Lecanoromycetes; Ostropales.